GAUGAAGAACGUAGCGAAAUGCGAUAAGUAAUGCGAAUUGCAGAAUUCAGUGAGUCAUCGAAUCUUUGAACGCACAUUGCGCCCUGUGGUAUUCCGCAGGGCAUGCCUGUUCGAGCGUCAUUUCAACCCUCAAGCCUCGCUUGGUGUUGGGCCCUGCCCGCCGCGGCCGGCCCUAAAGAUAGUGGCGGCGCCGCCUGGCCCUCAGCGUAGUACAGCUCUCGCUCCAGGGUCCGGCGGUAGCCUGCCAGAACCCCCAACUCUGUGGUUGACCUCGGAUCAGGUAGGGAUACCCGCUGAACUUAAGCAUAUCAAUAAGCGGAGGA
RNAcentral lists this unclassified non-coding RNA (323 nucleotides) under soil metagenome. RNAcentral's name for it is "partial contains 5.8S ribosomal RNA, internal transcribed spacer 2, and large subunit ribosomal RNA". The stretch from base 1 to 120 matches the Rfam family "5.8S ribosomal RNA", at positions 35 to 154 of the family's 154-position model. The record is from RNAcentral.